UUGCAAAUAAAUGUCAUUUAAGGUGGUACCCAACACUUUGACUAAAAUUAAUUUGGCUCGUUUAAUUUUCUUUAAAUUUUGACAAAGUAUUUACUUUGACCCUUUGACAAAAAUAUAAAAAUUUGAAAUAAUUUGAACCAACCGUUUUAUCAGAAAAAUUACACUGGUUAUAUAGCAGUUUGAUGAACACUUAUUUUGAUCAUUGAGAAGCUUGAUAUUCCCUUAACAACACAACGUAAUCAAAACGUUUAGCUGAUUUUACAGAGUUAUCUCCCUGUAGUGUUAGGUACCACCUUAACUAUAUUUUGAA
Molecule: long non-coding RNA, 310 nt
Filed under: Mytilus galloprovincialis (Mediterranean mussel)
Lineage: Eukaryota; Metazoa; Mollusca; Bivalvia; Mytilida; Mytilidae
Source: RNAcentral